RNAcentral lists this ribosomal RNA (497 nucleotides) under uncultured bacterium. Its description in RNAcentral is "partial 16S ribosomal RNA". It matches the Rfam family "Bacterial small subunit ribosomal RNA", at positions 28 to 507 of the family's 1533-position model. The record is from RNAcentral.
GAUGAACGCUGGCGGCGUGCCUAAUACAUGCAAGUCGAGCGAACGGACGAGAAGCUUGCUUCUCUGAUGUUAGCGGCGGACGGGUGAGUAACACGUGGAUAACCUACCUAUAAGACUGGGAUAACUUCGGGAAACCGUAGCUAAUACCGGAUAAUAUUUUGAACCGCAUGGUUCAAAAGUGAAAGACGGUCUUGCUGUCACUUAUAGAUGGAUCCGCGCUGCAUUAGCUAGUUGGUAAGGUAACGGCUUACCAAGGCAACGAUGCAUAGCCGACCUGAGAGGGUGAUCGGCAACACUGGAACUGAGACACGGACCAGACUACUACGGGAGGCAGCAGUAGGGAAUCUUACGCAAUGGGCGAAAGCCUGACGGAGCAACGCCGCGUGAGUGAUGAAGGUCUUCGGAUCGUAAAACUCUGUUAUUAGGGAAGAACAUAUGUGUAAGUAACUGUGCACAGCUUGACGGUACCUAAUCAGAAAGCCACGGCUAACUACGUG